CAGUAGCCACGGGAAUACGAAGGGUGCAAGCGUUAAUCGGAAUUACUGGGCGUAAAGCGUGCGUAGACGGUUUGUUAAGUCUGUUGUGAAAUCCCCGGGCUCAACCUGGGAAUGGCAAUGGAUACUGGCAAGCUAGAGUGUGUCAGAGGAUGGUGGAAUUCCCGGUGUAGCGGUGAAAUGCGUAGAGAUCGGGAGGAACAUCAGUGGCGAAGGCGGCCAUCUGGGACAACACUGACGCUGAGGCACGAAAGCGUGGGGAGCAAACAGGAUUAGAUACCCCCGUAGUCCCUGUCUCUUAUAA
RNAcentral lists this ribosomal RNA (301 nucleotides) under uncultured bacterium. RNAcentral's name for it is "partial 16S ribosomal RNA". It matches the Rfam family "Bacterial small subunit ribosomal RNA", at positions 509 to 809 of the family's 1533-position model. The record is from RNAcentral.